GAUGAACGCUGGCGGCGUGCUUAACACAUGCAAGUCGAACGAAGCAUUUAAGACAGAUUACUUCGGUUUGAGGUCUUUUAUGACUGAGUGGCGGACGGGUGAGUAACGCGUGGGUAACCUGCCUCAUACAGGGGGAUAGCAGCUGGAAACGGCUGGUAAUACCGCAUAAGCGCACAGUACCACAUGGUACAGUGUGAAAAACUCCGGUGGUAUGAGAUGGACCCGCGUCUGAUUAGCUUGUUGGCGGGGUAACGGCCCACCAAGGCGACGAUCAGUAGCCGACCUGAGAGGGUGACCGGCCACAUUGGGACUGAGACACGGCCCAGACUCCUACGGGAGGCAGCAGUGGGGAAUAUUGCACAAUGGAGGAAACUCUGAUGCAGCGACGCCGCGUGAGUGAAGAAGUAGUUCGCUAUGUAAAGCUCUAUCAGCAGGGAAGAUAGUGACGGUACCUGACGAAGAAGCGCCGGCUAAAUACGUG
RNAcentral lists this ribosomal RNA (481 nucleotides) under uncultured bacterium. Its description in RNAcentral is "partial 16S ribosomal RNA". It matches the Rfam family "Bacterial small subunit ribosomal RNA", at positions 28 to 507 of the family's 1533-position model. The record is from RNAcentral.